Molecule: non-coding RNA, 69 nt
Organism: Dallia pectoralis (Alaska blackfish)
Lineage: Eukaryota; Metazoa; Chordata; Actinopteri; Esociformes; Umbridae
Source: the annotation of a GenBank genome assembly
GUCCUGUGGUCUAGUGGUUAGCACUCUGGACUUUCAGUCCAGCGAUCGGAGUUCAGAUCUCCGUCGACC